Molecule: ribosomal RNA, 747 nt
Filed under: Triticum aestivum (bread wheat)
Lineage: Eukaryota; Viridiplantae; Streptophyta; Magnoliopsida; Poales; Poaceae
Description: partial small subunit ribosomal RNA
Source: RNAcentral
AUGGAAGAAGAAAUUGAUGAAACUGUGAGCUCAUUGGAUGAAAAAGAUGAGGAGGAGAGCGAAGAACAAAAGGAGGAAGAGCGGAUCGACCACCCGUGCCCACCUUCUAAUGAGAGUAACUCUUCAACUCAUACAUUGUUUAAUUUCCCUUUGUGCUUACCGAAGGAUGAUUGCUAUGAUGAUUGUUAUGAUCCCGUUGAUUCUCUUGAAAUACCCCUUUUUGAUGAUGCUUGCUAUGCUUGUGGCCAAGAUGCCAGUAUGAAUUAUGCUUAUGGAGAUGAACUUGCUAUAGUUCCUUAUGUUAAACAUGAAAUUGUUGCUAUUGCGCCCACACAUGAUAGUCAUAUUAUCUUUUUGAAUUCUCCCAACUACACUAUAUCGGAGAAGUUUGCCCUUAUUAAGGAUUAUAUUGAUGGGUUGCGUUUCACUACUACACAUGAUGAUUUUGAUAGAUAUAAUAUGCAUGUGCUUGCUGCUCCAACUUGUAAUUAUUAUGGGAGAGGAACUACAUCUCCGCCUCUUUAUGUUUCCAACAUGAUAGAAUUGCAAGAAACUGCUUAUACUAUGCAUUGGCCUUUACUUGGUGUGCAUGAAUUGUUCUUUUAUGACAUGCCGAUGCAUAGGAAGAGAGUUAGACUUUGUUGUUGCAUGAUAUAUGUUACUUUGUGCUCACUACUAAAUCACAAAUCAUUGUUAAUUAAAAUUGGCUUUGGUAUACCUUGGGAUCCGAGUGGAUUCAUUACUUGA